CUGUAUCUGCGAGCAUACACCCUCCUCAACCUCUGGCACCGGCUCCACCACUGGUUGGCUUAAAUGGAAGUUGUAGCGGUAGUGUCAGCCUGGUUAGCAGUGGUGCUAGCAGCAGUAGCAGUAGUGGUGUAUUUGCAAGCUUAUUUGCCUCCUCGACUGUAUCUGCAAGCAUACAACCUCCUCAACCUCCGGCUUUAACCAACUUAAUUCGAGCUGACCUAGCUCCAUCUACAUCAAUUGAACCAAUUUCUUUAUGCCUCUCGACCAGCCAUGGCUCGUCGAUAUUCGGAACUACAGGGCAAGAGCGUCGGCAGCAUGCACCGCCACUGCAAC
This 333-nucleotide long non-coding RNA is filed under the name Gossypium barbadense (sea-island cotton). Its description in RNAcentral is "long non-coding RNA (GBAR_LNC014619)". The record is from RNAcentral. Lineage: Eukaryota; Viridiplantae; Streptophyta; Magnoliopsida; Malvales; Malvaceae.